Solanum lycopersicum (tomato) is the source of this 1336-nucleotide long non-coding RNA. RefSeq lists it as uncharacterized. Lineage: Eukaryota; Viridiplantae; Streptophyta; Magnoliopsida; Solanales; Solanaceae. The record is from RefSeq and is a predicted model, not a curated record.
CUUACAUACUUAUAUACAGAUUAAAGUCUAUCUAGCUCACUGCAGAUUUGAGACAGCAAUACAAUGAAAAAAUAUUUUUGAUAUUUUGUCAAGAAUGCAUUUUGUGGUAGUUUGCCCCAGGUGACUUGGUAUGUACGAACAUGGCAAUAACAUGUUGUACAGUUAGCUAUGUGAAGUGUACUACAAACUUGACUUUAUUUUAUUGGACGUCAUUUUUUUUGUAUUUUCCUCUUGACACACAUAUUUGCACUCAAAACAACUCACCAGCUAACAUGGAUCUUUGAAGUUCACUUUCUUCUUCAUUGACUCUUUCAAAUUAAAGUUUGUUAAUUUUAUUUGCUGAAAGGAAAAUUGGAUGAAAAUGACUAUAAACAAAAUAAUACUUAGCAACCAUCCAAACAAGUUGUUGAUGAAGAUGGAGAUACUGUUGUUCAAAUUUCGACAUACAUUCAUCAUCUGAAUCAAAUUUUGGUUGUGGUGAUCUCACCCCGUGAUGAUGUUGUGGAUGCGGGACAUUAGUUGUAUUGUUGUGAGCAGUGCCUAAUGAUGAUACAAACAAACCUUGCAAGCUGACUUCCUUCUUAGAUUAUAAGGUUUGAAUAACCCACAUUGUGAGAGAAAAUGAAAAACAUGUAUCAAGUAAAUUCACCCUUUUAUUUAUAACAUUUCAGUUCUGUAUUCAAAGUUUCGACAUAUAUUUAUUAUUUAGACUCGGGGUUGCUAGAGUUUUCCUACUACCUUUCACUCGGGGGAGAUAUUACUAUUUUGAUGCUAAAUAUUGAUUUUGACAUCUUAUUUGUUGAGCUGUAAAACUCCACAAGAGUAAAACAUUUGAGAUGGAUGGUUAGAUGGUAGUAGUUGGUGUUGUUGGGUUUGUUAUGACAUUAUCCAAGGAAGAGACCAUUAUAAAGUACAGCUACAAAUAGGAAGCUAAUGAAAACUAAGGAAAUUCAAGCACAAUUGUAGAAACCGAACAAGUAUGUUUGUGUCAACCAUGUGUUAACUCUCACAUGUAUCAAAUUUGAAUGUCAUCCCUUAUAUUUCGGGGUACCAUGGCUUGAAUAAGAUUUAGGUAUAUAUAAAAAAAUUAUUUCAAUAAUCAUGUGUUUCUCUGAAAUCUUAUUUACACCAACAUUCAUGUUAUCGGUUAAUUAUAUAAUAAGAGGUGAUGUAUGAAUUAGUUUUUAAUUGAUGUUUGCACCUCUUAGAGUUAAUUGAGCAUUGUAAGUAUAAUUUUACCGAUACUUGUAUGUCAUCUUCUUUUGUUGAGAAACAUGUAUGUGUUCUUUCAAAUUCACUAAUAUUGAUUAUUUAUGAAGUGAGUUUAUUGAUGAUA